CAGCCGUAAACUAUGCGCGUUAGGUGUAUCGGUGACCACGAGUCACCGAGGUGCCGAAGGGAAACCGUGAAACGUGCCGCCUGGGAAGUACGGUCGCAAGGCUGAAACUUAAAGGAAUUGGCGGGGGAGCACAACAACGGGUGGAGCCUGCGGUUUAAUUGGACUCAACGCCGGACAACUCACCGGGAACGACAGCAAUAUGUAGGCCAGGCUGAAGACCUGCAUGACUAGCUGAGAGGAGGUGCAUGGCGUAGACGUCU
This 260-nucleotide ribosomal RNA is filed under the name uncultured archaeon. Its description in RNAcentral is "partial 16S ribosomal RNA". It matches the Rfam family "Archaeal small subunit ribosomal RNA", at positions 748 to 1009 of the family's 1478-position model. The record is from RNAcentral.